RNAcentral lists this ribosomal RNA (305 nucleotides) under uncultured bacterium. Its description in RNAcentral is "bacterial SSU rRNA". It matches the Rfam family "Bacterial small subunit ribosomal RNA", at positions 337 to 658 of the family's 1533-position model. The record is from RNAcentral.
UCCUACGGGGGGCAGCAGUCGGGAAUAUUGCGCAAUGGAGGAAACUCUGACGCAGUGACGCCGCGUGCAGGAAGAAGGUUUUCGGAUUGUAAACUGCUUUAGACAGGGAAGAAAAAAGACAGUACCUGUAGAAUAAGCUCCGGCUAACUACGUGCCAGCAGCCGCGGUAAUACGUAGGGAGCAAGCGUUGUCCGGAUUUACUGGGUGUAAAGGGUGCGUAGGCGGCUUUGCAAGUCAGAAGUGAAAUCCAUGGGCUUAACCCAUGAACUGCUUUUGAAACUGCAGAGCUUGAGUGGAGUAGAGGG